UUGAACGCUGGCGGCAGGCCUAACACAUGCAAGUCGAGCGGAUGAAGGGAGCUUGCUCCUGGAUUCAGCGGCGGACGGGUGAGUAAUGCCUAGGAAUCUGCCUGGUAGUGGGGGAUAACGUCCGGAAACGGGCGCUAAUACCGCAUACGUCCUGAGGGAGAAAGUGGGGGAUCUUCGGACCUCACGCUAUCAGAUGAGCCUAGGUCGGAUUAGCUAGUUGGUGGGGUAAAGGCCUACCAAGGCGACGAUCCGUAACUGGUCUGAGAGGAUGAUCAGUCACACUGGAACUGAGACACGGUCCAGACUCCUACGGGAGGCAGCAGUGGGGAAUAUUGGACAAUGGGCGAAAGCCUGAUCCAGCCAUGCCGCGUGUGUGAAGAAGGUCUUCGGAUUGUAAAGCACUUUAAGUUGGGAGGAAGGGCAGUAAGUUAGUACCUUGCUGUUUUGACGUUACCAACAGAAUAAGCACCGGCUAACUUCGUA
This 483-nucleotide ribosomal RNA is filed under the name uncultured bacterium. RNAcentral's name for it is "partial 16S ribosomal RNA". It matches the Rfam family "Bacterial small subunit ribosomal RNA", at positions 30 to 507 of the family's 1533-position model. The record is from RNAcentral.